RNAcentral lists this ribosomal RNA (477 nucleotides) under uncultured anaerobic ammonium-oxidizing bacterium. RNAcentral describes it as "bacterial SSU rRNA". It matches the Rfam family "Bacterial small subunit ribosomal RNA", at positions 365 to 832 of the family's 1533-position model. The record is from RNAcentral.
UUCGCAAUGCCCGAAAGGGUGACGAAGCGACGCCGCGUGCGGGAAGAAGGCCUUCGGGUUGUAAACCGCUGUCGGGAGUUAAGAAAUGCAAGGAUAUUAAUAGUGUCUUUGCUUGACUAAGGCUCCGGAGGAAGCCACGGCUAACUCUGUGCCAGCAGCCGCGGUAAUACAGAGGUGGCAAGCGUUGUUCGGAAUUAUUGGGCGUAAAGAGCACGUAGGCGGCUCUGCAAGUCAGCUGUGAAAGCCUUCUGCUUAACGGAAGAACAGCAGUUGAAACUACAGGGCUUGAGUGUGGGAGAGGAGAGUGGAACUUCUGGUGGAGCGGUGAAAUGCGUAGAUAUCAGAAGGAACGCCGGCGGCGAAAGCGGCUCUCUGGCCCAUAACUGACGCUGAGUGUGCGAAAGCUAGGGGAGCAAACGGGAUUAGAUACCCCGGUAGUCCUAGCCGUAAACGAUGGGCACUAAGUAGAGGGGUUUU